GUCGUGGGUGGAGCUUCGGGGAGCAACUUCCCGGCUGUCUGGGCCGAACCUGGGAAGCUCAGCCUGCGGACCUGAUGUGGUAACCUGUGCCUCUCCCCUCUCUGCCUCCUGCUUCAGGCAGCCUGCUUUGUGUGGUCUAGGACACAGACCUCAUCUCUGGCACUGUCGCCUGAGACGCGCCUCGCAGCACCCCUCAGGACGGUCCUCUCGCCUGGUGACCAGGACCUCAGCCCGUACCCACCCAGCUCCCCCUCGGUGGCCACAGGGCAUCGGAGGACGCAGGUGUGGAGCUGUUCAGCUACCAGGAUGCCCCUCGGCUCUGUGGAGGCAGAGGCGGGUGACAAGCAACUCCUUCAUCGUUUCUCUCUGCCACGCUGUCAUUUGAGUGUUUGUGGGAUGCUCGUUCCUCGGCAUGGCUCAAGUCUGCUCGUUUCAGCUCUCUUGGCUGUGAAACAGGGACCUGUGAGGCCCAGGCUCACUGUGCAGAGUGAGGAUCAGUCAAGCAGUGUGUGCGAAGCUUUAGCACCGAGCCCGCAGCAGGAGCUCGGGCCCUGCUCAAGGUAGAACCAUUAGGAGCAGGUGAAGAAGGUGCUGAGAGAGAAGAUCAGUUCUGCUGGGGCGAGGACAAAGCCUAAGGGAGAUGAUGAACUCGUUGGCUGCGGUGUGUUCUAGCUACAGUUGGAGUACAAAGUAGGAGCACAUAACUGUACAGGAGAGGCAGAGUUGCAUUCAGAGUAGAGGGGCAUUGAAUGGGGUUCUGAAGAGUGGAUAAGAGUUGAAAGACAGGGAAGUCCUUUUCUGAGGAGGGAACACCCAAUGUAAAACACAGACCUCAGUGAAGUCUAGCCUGCUCAUCUCUCUUAGUCCGAGGCCCCAGGCGCCCCGCUGAAAGCCCCCUAUGUGGGCAAGUGCUAGGGCUCAGUGCUCUGUCAGCACAUGCAUAGCUCAGCUGGCUGGCGUAACCUUUGAAGCUGGGCUCUUGGCUGGGCCCUGGGCCGGGGGGCCCUCCCCUGCAGACCACCAGAACCGGCCCUGCUGUCCCUCUUGAGCAUGACAUGGGGUGGGG
This 1066-nucleotide long non-coding RNA is filed under the name Heterocephalus glaber (naked mole-rat). RNAcentral describes it as "lncRNA (ENSHGLG00100034105.1)". Lineage: Eukaryota; Metazoa; Chordata; Mammalia; Rodentia; Bathyergidae. The record is from RNAcentral.